Molecule: ribosomal RNA, 710 nt
Filed under: uncultured bacterium
Lineage: Bacteria
Description: bacterial SSU rRNA
Rfam family: Bacterial small subunit ribosomal RNA
Source: RNAcentral
ACACAUGCAGUCGAACGGCAACACGUUUUAGUUACUAAGAUGGUGGCGAGUGGCGCACGGGUGAGUAACGCGUAGGAAUAUACCUUAAAGUGGGGGAUAACUUGGGGAAACCCAAGCUAAUACCGCAUAAUACUCUGAGGAGAGAAGCUGGGGACCAUUAGGCCUGGCGCUUUAAGAUUAGCCUGCGUCCGAUUAGCUAGUUGGUAGGGUAAAGGCCUACCAAGGCGACGAUCGGUAGCUGGUCUGAGAGGAUGGCCAGCCACACUGGAACUGAGACACGGUCCAGACUCUUACGGGAGGCAGCAGUGGGGAAUAUUGGACAAUGGGGGGAACCCUGAUCCAGCAAUGCCGCGUGUGUGAAGAAGGCCUGCGGGUUGUAAAGCACUUUCAGUGGGGAGGAGGGAUGAUUGGUUAAGAGCUGAUUAUUUGGACGUUACCCACAGAAGAAGCACCGGCUAACUCCGUGCCAGCAGCCGCGGUAAUACGGAGGGUGCGAGCGUUAAUCGGAAUUACUGGGCGUAAAGGGUGCGUAGGUGGUUUAAUAAGUUAAGUGUGAAAGCCCUGGGCUCAACCUAGGAAGGCCAUUUAAGACUGUUAGACUUGAGUGUAGGAGAGGGUAGUGGAAUUUCCGGUGUAGCGGUGAAAUGCGUAGAGAUCGGAAGGAACACCAGUGGCGAAGGCGGCUACCUGGCCGGACACUGACACUGAAG